UCUUAUUCUCUCUCUAUCUCUCAUAGAUGAAAUAGAAGAAGAAGAAGAAUUUGAACAAUGUGAAGAAGAAGACGCAAGAAGAAGCAACGUGUUUUCGCCUCUAAUACCCUAAGAAGCAUUCUUCUUCAUUCCCAGGUUUUUGCUUCAAUUCCUUCCCAUUUUUCAAGUAUUGCCAUUUCUUACUUACUUUUUUAGAUUCGAAUUUUAUGUUUGAAUUAAGACAAAUUUCCAAGACCCAUUUUAGAUAACAUCAAUAUUUUUAAUUUAUUUUUGUUUGAGCAUAUUAUUGUGAUGAAGUUGUUGACGAUAACUUACUUUGGGAACAUGGGUAUUAGCUAAUUGGUGGGAGAACAAGGUGGUUCUUCUAUAAUGAAUGUGGUAUAUAAUUAAUAAGUGCACUUAUUUUUUAUAAUUAUGGUUUAUUGUGAAGGGUGGUUGUUCACUGAAAGGAAUAUUAGAUGCAGUUGAAUUAUGAAUUUUGCUUGGAGGCCUGACUAUAUAAUUGAAACAUAAUUAAACUAUAGACAUUUGUACAUAUACGCUUUUGUCGAAUAAAAAUAUUGGGUCCCAUUUUGAGUGUUUCACUUUAUGUUUCACCGAUUAUGAUAAAGUGGAACACUAAGAGUGGGACAAAGGAUUUCCAUUUGCUCUAUGUCUUUUUAUCAAUGUUGGUAUUUCUUCUAACCAAACUUUCAUAGUUUCUAAAUGUUGUACAUGACAUGCCAACCUGUGAGCUGCCAUGUUCUCUGUUCUUUCAUCUAGUGUGAUGUAUCACCUCUAAAAACUUUUUAAGAGCUUGACGUGCACCGUCUGUCAAACACACAACGUUUGAGCCAUUGUCUUCCUUGGACUUCAAAGCUUUUGCAACUACUAGGGAGUAAUCUCCAGACUUGUAUAUUGUAACCCUGCAUCUUUCACAAUCUCAAGUGCUAUCUCUACUGCAAAAAUAUUUAUUUCCUCUAUGUUGGUCACCAUCUUCUCACUUUAACUCAUAGCUGCUAUCAGAAAACGCAUGUCAUCUCUAUCUCCCCACCCUCAAUGGAGUAGGCAUCAGUGUGCCUCAGCCCUACAAGCAUAAUUCACUUACACCUACCUUAGCCCCUCUUGAUGUGGAUGAUCAGCUCUCACCUGAGCCAUUAGCUAUUCUGCAAGAAAGGUCGAAACAGCUGUAAGUAAAGAUUGAGCUCCCUUGACUUGCCUAGCUGCAACAGAGGGGACUGGAGCUGUACUGGAGGAAGUAAAAGUGUCAUAGUGCACUGUAACUGUAACUGCUGUGUAAUUGGCACUUUAGUGAUAUUGUGGUGUUAGAGUGUAUUGCAUUAGAUUGUAUUGGUAGUUCAAUUAGUACUAUUAUGUGCUGUAUGUAUUACAAUAGAAAGUAGUUAGAUGGCAGUCAGGGAGUUAUAGUCAGUUACUCUUGGUAGAGAUUAGUUGGUCACUCUUGUUAGAGAUUAGUUAGUCUUGUAAUUUAGUUAGAGUGGCCUGGAUAUAAGGCACUGCUCCUUUGAGAAUUGUAAUCAAGCAAUACGAAUCAACUUGUUCCUUUUGGUCUC
Quercus robur (English oak) is the source of this 1553-nucleotide long non-coding RNA. RefSeq lists it as uncharacterized. The record is from RefSeq and is a predicted model, not a curated record. NCBI's taxonomy places the organism in Eukaryota, Viridiplantae, Streptophyta, Magnoliopsida, Fagales, Fagaceae. The transcript is spliced from 2 exons.